Molecule: long non-coding RNA, 475 nt
Filed under: Elaeis guineensis (African oil palm)
Lineage: Eukaryota; Viridiplantae; Streptophyta; Magnoliopsida; Arecales; Arecaceae
Description: long non-coding RNA (EGUI_LNC071909)
Source: RNAcentral
CCUAGGAAGCUGAGGUCGAGUUCUAGAAAUUUUCUGGCCACCUUCUCUUGGCAGAGCUCGAACCCCCUUAUGAACGCUUCCUAGCCAAAUUGGACCUUCAGGUCCCUCAUCUCCGCGGAGGCCUUGAACUCCUCCACCGCAAGGACUCUGGCCUCCGAGACCAGGACCGGAAUUUGCUCGGCCAAGUUGGCGACCUCGGCCUCCGCCUUUCUCGUCGAUUCCUCCAAGGUCUGCCUCUCCUCCUCCCAGGCUUGUUUCUCUCUUUCCAGAGCCUCCUGGAGGGCGACUACUUCGGCCGUCUUUGCUUGGAGGCGGGCAACCUCGGCAUGGCAGCGUUCCUCCACCUGGAGGAUGUCCCUCCUCGCACGGUUCGCCGCCUCGAUAUAGGCGAGGAGCUGGUGCCCAAUCUGCAAGGGCGGCUAGGGAAUUAAAAUAAAGUCCAAAUAGCCAUGUAAAUGAAGAGUCGCUUACCUCA